Molecule: RNase P RNA, 382 nt
Filed under: Clostridium sp. CAG:62
Lineage: Bacteria; Bacillati; Bacillota; Clostridia; Eubacteriales; Clostridiaceae
Description: Bacterial RNase P class A
Rfam family: Bacterial RNase P class A
About the family: Ribonuclease P (RNase P) is a ubiquitous endoribonuclease, found in archaea, bacteria and eukarya as well as chloroplasts and mitochondria. Its best characterised activity is the generation of mature 5'-ends of tRNAs by cleaving the 5'-leader elements of precursor-tRNAs.
Source: Rfam by way of RNAcentral
UGAGCAGCACAAGUGACCGCGCCCAUUCAGACGAAAGGGAAUGGGUGAGGAAAGUCCGAGCUUCACAGGGCAGGAUGCCGGAUAACGUCCGGUGGAGGCGACUCCCAGGCUAGUGCAACAGAAAUAGNNNNNNAGGCGGAGGCAAACAAAAAUUAACCGCCACGGCUUUGCCCGUGGUAAGGUUGGAAUGGCGAGGUAAGAGCUCACCGCCUCUCUGGUAACAGGGAGGGCAUAUGUAAACCCCAUCCGAAGCAAGACCGAACAGGAAGCAAUACGGCGGCCCGUCGUGCUUUCGGGUAGGUCGCUAGAGCCUGUUGGCAACAGCAGGUCCAGAUAGAUGGUCACUCAACGACAGAACUCGGCUUAUCGUGCUGCUCAUAUG